AUCUAUAGCCAUGCCACCCUGAACAAGCCCGAUCCCGUCUGAUCUUGGAAGCUAAGCAGGGUCAGGCUUGGUUAGUACUUGAAUGGGAGACCACCUAGGAAGACCAGGUCCUGUGGGCG
This 119-nucleotide ribosomal RNA is filed under the name Pteropus alecto (black flying fox). Lineage: Eukaryota; Metazoa; Chordata; Mammalia; Chiroptera; Pteropodidae. The record is from RNAcentral.